RNAcentral lists this ribosomal RNA (2061 nucleotides) under Triticum aestivum (bread wheat). Its description in RNAcentral is "partial small subunit ribosomal RNA". The record is from RNAcentral. Lineage: Eukaryota; Viridiplantae; Streptophyta; Magnoliopsida; Poales; Poaceae.
AUGCCGAAAAUUUGUGACUUUGGUCUGUCAAGACUCAUUAAUGAUUCAAUAAGAAGCUUUAACACAGAACAUCUUUGUGGAUCACAUCCCUUCAUGCCACCAGAAUACAUAGAGACUGGCGGAAUCUCUAAGAAGCAUGAUGUAUUCAGCUUAGGCGUCACAAUCAUACAAAUAAUUGCAGGACCUAACGGCUAUGGCGAAUAUGUAGACAUGCCUUUCAAUAGAUUUGCAGAACUUGCACUCUUGAACUGGAGGGGAAGGAUAGAGGGAACAUCAAAGCACGUGGAAGAAUACUGCCAGCAAGUCAAGAAAUGUAUCACAAUUGCAUCAGCUUGCGUGGGACAUGACAAAGACAAAAGGCCAACUAUAGGGUCUACGUUGGAACAACUACAAGCCAUAACUCAUAGAACAGUAGAAGAAGAAGAAAGAGAAGGAGAACAGGAGCAGUUGGAACAGAUAGAAACCACGAUUGACAGAACAAUAGAAGAAGAAGAAAGAGAAGGAGAACAGGAGCAAAAGAAUUUUCAAGUUGUUAAGUAUGGGCCUUGGGGUGGAAAUGGCGGAACUGCCCAUGACAUCGGGGCAGCAUCUUCCCUCCGUCUCAAAAGUGUGACAAUUCGUUAUGGCGAUAUCAUUGAUUCACUUACGUUUUCAUAUAGCGAUCACAGUGGGUAUGUGCACACCGUUGGCCCAUGGGGUGGUACUGGUGGUGCGAACAAAUAUACGAUCAAUCUUGAUCCAACAGAUUUUGUGAAAGAAAUUUCUGGCAAAUUUGGUCCAUAUCCCUUAUCACAUUCCAAUGUCAUAACAUCUCUCAAGCUGGUAACCCAUGAGGAUACAUAUGGCCCUUUUGGAUUUGUAGAAGGAACUCCUUUUUGCGGCACAUUGGAAAGCGGAUGGGCUAUAGUUGGCUUCUUUGCACGUGCGGAGAGGUAUGUUCAUAAAAUUGGUGUGUAUGCCAGACCUUUGACGCUUGAUGCAGAAGGACUGACAGUGGCCACAACACCCGGCACCUCCGGUGCAACCACAAAAGAAGAAAAUGGUCAAGAAGGUGAUUCAACAGUCAGAGACUGUGACAUGGCUAGCAAAUUGCAAAAUAUAACAAGUCUAACGCUCCGAGUAUUACAAGAAAUCACAGAUAAUUUCUCCGAGAAGAGGAAAAUUGGUCAAGGCACGUAUGGAAAGGUCUAUGUGGCAGAGCUUGAAAAUGGAAAAGAAAUUGCUGUGAAGGUGCUUUACAAUAACAUGCCAAAGAUUGAUGAUGAACAAUUCCAAAGUGAGUUCGAAAACCUUAUGAGGCUCGAGCAUCACAACAUUGUAAGGUUAGUUGCCUAUUGCUAUGAAACACAACAUCAACCUAUGCAGUACGGGGGAAGAACAGUUUUUGCUGAAAGGACAUACAGAGCGCUCUGCUUUGAGUAUAUGCAAAAUGGAAGCCUUGAAAAACACCUUUCUGACGAAGGUGAUAGACUUGACUGGCAUACAUGUUACAAAAUUAUCAAGGGUACAUGGAAGGGUUUAAAGCACCUUCAUGAAGGAUUCGAUCAACCAAUUUACCAUUUGGACCUAAAACCAAGUAACAUAUUGUUAGACAAGAACAUGGUGCCAAAGCUUGCGGAUUUUGGUUUGUCCAGGCUCUUCGGUGAUAAACAAACCAUAAUCACACAAACUCCUAUAGGAACAAUUGGAUAUGUGCCGAUGGAAUUCUUACAUGGAAACAUCGUGUCGAACAAGUUUGACAUAUUCAGCUUGGGUGUUGUAAUGAUAAAAAUAAUUGCAGGCAAUGGAGGCCAUUCUAGAAGUGUCGAAAUGCCUCUCCGUGAGUCUUUUGAUAUGGUACGAGAAAAGUGGAGGGGUAGGAUGCUGGAAACAUGUCUAGCUUCAAAGCCACUGGAAGCAUAUUGCAAACAAGUUAAUGUAUGCACUGAGAUUGCACUAAGUUGCAUGGAUAUUGAUAGACACAAAAGGCCAAAUAUAUCGGAUAUAAUCAAUCAACUGAAUGGCACCGAAGAUGUGGUCAACAAGGCAUUUUCGUCGAGCAUUCCCACAAGCAUGUCAUGA